This 801-nucleotide ribosomal RNA is filed under the name uncultured bacterium. Its description in RNAcentral is "bacterial SSU rRNA". It matches the Rfam family "Bacterial small subunit ribosomal RNA", at positions 8 to 796 of the family's 1533-position model. The record is from RNAcentral.
AGAGUUUGAUCAUGGCUCAGGACGAACGCUGGCGGCGCGCUUAACACAUGCAAGUCGAGCGAGAACCGGUCCUUCGGGACCGGGGAAAGCGGCGAACGGGUGAGUAACACGUGAGUAAUCUGCCCUCGGCACCGGGAUAGCCCGUGGAAACGCGGAUUAAUACCGGAUGGCCCGCCGGCCCUUCGGGGCUGUCGGAAAAGGUAGCUUCGGCCUCUGGCCGAGGAGGAGCUCGCGGCGGAUUAGCUUGUUGGCGGGGUAAUGGCCCACCAAGGCGACGAUCCGUAGCUGGUCUGAGAGGACGAUCAGCCACACUGGGACUGAGACACGGCCCAGACUCCUACGGGAGGCAGCAGUGGGGAAUCUUGCGCAAUGGGCGAAAGCCUGACGCAGCGACGCCGCGUGCGGGAAGAAGGCCUUCGGGUUGUAAACCGCUUUCAGGAGGGACGAAGCCACUCGGGUGAAUAGCCCAGAGGGUGACGGUACCUUCAGAAGAAGCCCCGGCUAACUACGUGCCAGCAGCCGCGGUAAUACGUAGGGGGCAAGCGUUGUCCGGAUUUAUUGGGCGUAAAGAGCGUGUAGGCGGCCUGGCAAGUCCGCUGUGAAAACUCGAGGCUUAACCUCGAGACGUCGGUGGAAACUGCCUGGCUAGAGUCCGGAAGAGGAGAGUGGAAUUCCUGGUGUAGCGGUGAAAUGCGCAGAUAUCAGGAAGAACACCCGUGGCUAAGGCGGCUCUCUAGUACGGUACUGACGCUGAGACGCGAAAGCGUGGGGAGCGAACAGGAUUAGAUACCCUAGUAGUCC